UACGUAGGGGGCAAGCGUUGUCCGGAUUUAUUGGGCGUAAAGAGCGUGUAGGCGGCCAAGCAGGUCCGUUGUGAAAACUGGAGGCUUAACCUCCAGACGUCGACGGAAACCGCGUGGCUAGAGUCCGGAAGAGGAGAGUGGAAUUCCUGGUGUAGCGGUGAAAUGCGCAGAUAUCAGGAAGAACACCCGUGGCGAAGGCGGCUCUCUGGGACGGUACUGACGCUGAGACGCGAAAGCGUGGGGAGCGAACAGG
This 253-nucleotide ribosomal RNA is filed under the name uncultured bacterium. RNAcentral's name for it is "partial 16S ribosomal RNA". It matches the Rfam family "Bacterial small subunit ribosomal RNA", at positions 524 to 776 of the family's 1533-position model. The record is from RNAcentral.